UGCGAUUUUACUUCAGAGAAUCUUUUCUUUAGGAGAAAAUCCCGCUCUAAAUUUUCCAAUUUAGCUGCAGAACCUACCCUGGUUGAUGAAUGAAAAUCCCCGCCGUCCUAGAGUGAAGAUAUUAAUGGCUUCCUUCCUUUAUUAAGGAGGGAGUUACUCUCGUCCUGCGCGAAAGCGUAGCGGUCGACGCUUUAUGCAUUGGCUGUAUAGAGGGUGUUGUUGAUCUCAACCCCGAUUCGCUUAGCUUACCUUUGUGGUACUUUGCCGGGGUGGGUGGUGGUGGACGUCUGACAGGC
This 296-nucleotide small nucleolar RNA is filed under the name Pseudomassariella vexata. RNAcentral's name for it is "Fungal small nucleolar RNA U3". It matches the Rfam family "Fungal small nucleolar RNA U3". From Rfam's summary of the family: Small nucleolar RNAs (snoRNAs) are involved in the processing and modification of rRNA in the nucleolus. There are two main classes of snoRNAs: the box C/D class, and the box H/ACA class. Lineage: Eukaryota; Fungi; Ascomycota; Sordariomycetes; Amphisphaeriales; Pseudomassariaceae. The record is from Rfam by way of RNAcentral.